Molecule: small nucleolar RNA, 86 nt
Filed under: Suhomyces tanzawaensis NRRL Y-17324
Lineage: Eukaryota; Fungi; Ascomycota; Pichiomycetes; Serinales; Debaryomycetaceae
Source: RNAcentral
UUUUAUGAUGAUUUUUUAUAUUCACACUGUACUAGAAGUAACCUUCUGUGACUACGAAAACAAAAACUGAUUUAAUGACUCUGAGA